This 200-nucleotide long non-coding RNA is filed under the name Physcomitrium patens. RNAcentral describes it as "long non-coding RNA (PPAT_LNC008811)". The record is from RNAcentral. Lineage: Eukaryota; Viridiplantae; Streptophyta; Bryopsida; Funariales; Funariaceae.
UGUGGGAUGCUUUAUUGAAGUUAUUUUGAUUUACAAAACCUCUACAAAAAGUUUUGAUAAUUUUAUGGUGCAUUCAAAAACACUUGUAGAUCAAAUUUCCAUCUGGAAAACUUCUAUAAUAUUUUAUAAGAAAAUUAUCAUUAACUUAAUCUCUUCCUACUUACUCCUAUUUAUUUGUAUUUAUUCAAAUAAUGUGGGUA